UACGCGGGAUUUUUUUUUAAUUAGGUGGGUUUUUCUUGACUCAGUGUCAGAUUGGAGGUUGCAUUGCCAAGGUAAGCAGGUAAGUUCGUAUUACGUGUUUUAACUUUUUUCGUUAAGAUAAGUAUGAUUUGUGUUCGUUUGUUGAUUAAGUAUAAGCGUGAAUAUUGUUUAUAGUUGAUUAACUGAGUACUGUGUUAUAUGUCAGAUAAUGGCUGAUUUUUCCCCGAGCAAGUUUGUUGAGAUAAAUGAUGAAGAGGUGGAGGCGGUUCGACAUGAUUUUCAGUUGUCAACCUAUGUAUGCCUGGAUACUGCAAUGCCUCGCCAGGAGGUAUAUUCGCAGACUUUGCGAGUAAAUAAAAGGGCCAUGGAGCUGAUGGUCCGUCAGGCGUUCUGCAGAGCAAAAAGUUGCUCUUUUAAAAAAAGAGCUCCAGGGUACGAAGAUCAAAUUGGAAAAUGCUCUACAGCAGCUGGAGGUUGUCCAGGCAUCAUUCAGCUGUGCAUGUGAUGAUGUGACUGAAGCUGGAAGUCAGCAGACUGACCCUGUGAAGAUCAGUGAAGAAGCCUUUACUGAGAGUGAAACUGUUAAUAAUUAAUGGGGAUGAGGGUAAUGGGGAUUAAUUAAUCAACAUAUAAAGUAAAUUUGAUUUAGUUAGAAAAUAAAGAUAAUUUUAAUUGGUUAUGUUUCUUGUGGUUAUUGGUUAUU
Sinocyclocheilus anshuiensis is the source of this 703-nucleotide long non-coding RNA. RefSeq lists it as uncharacterized. The record is from RefSeq and is a predicted model, not a curated record. Lineage: Eukaryota; Metazoa; Chordata; Actinopteri; Cypriniformes; Cyprinidae. The transcript is spliced from 3 exons.